This 301-nucleotide ribosomal RNA is filed under the name uncultured bacterium. RNAcentral's name for it is "partial 16S ribosomal RNA". It matches the Rfam family "Bacterial small subunit ribosomal RNA", at positions 509 to 807 of the family's 1533-position model. The record is from RNAcentral.
CAGUAGCCGCGGGAACACAGAGGGUGCGAGCGUUAAUCGGAUUUACUGGGCGUAAAGCGUGCGUAGGCGGCUUCUUAAGUCGGAUGUGAAAUCCCUGAGCUUAACUUAGGAAUUGCAUUCGAUACUGGGAAGCUAGAGUAUGGGAGAGGAUGGUAGAAUUCCAGGUGUAGCGGUGAAAUGCGUAGAGAUCUGGAGGAAUACCGAUGGCGAAGGCAGCCAUCUGGCCUAAUACUGACGCUGAGGUACGAAAGCAUGGGGAGCAAACAGGAUUAGAUACCCGCGUAGUCCCUGUCUCUUAUAC